GAUUAAGUUAUUAAGGGCGCACGGUGGAUGCCUUGGCACUAGAAGCCGAUGAAGGACGUUACUAACGACGAUAUGCUUUGGGGAGCUGUAAGUAAGCUUUGAUCCAGAGAUUUCCGAAUGGGGAAACCCAGCAUGAGUUAUGUCAUGUUAUCGAUAUGUGAAUACAUAGCAUAUCAGAAGGCACACCCGGAGAACUGAAACAUCUUAGUACCCGGAGGAAGAGAAAGAAAAUUCGAUUCCCUUAGUAGCGGCGAGCGAAACGGGAAGAGCCCAAACCAACAAGCUUGCUUGUUGGGGUUGUAGGACACUCUAUACGGAGUUACAAAGGACGACAUUAGACGAAUCAUCUGGAAAGAUGAAUCAAAGAAGGUAAUAAUCCUGUAGUCGAAAA
This 391-nucleotide ribosomal RNA is filed under the name Staphylococcus aureus. RNAcentral describes it as "partial 23S ribosomal RNA". It matches the Rfam family "Bacterial large subunit ribosomal RNA", at positions 1 to 385 of the family's 2925-position model. Lineage: Bacteria; Bacillati; Bacillota; Bacilli; Caryophanales; Staphylococcaceae. The record is from RNAcentral.